UUGCAUUCUCCUUCUAGUGCACGGUGACGUGUGGCCAGGGACUCCGGUAUCGCGUGGUUCUCUGCAUCAACCCUCGAGGAAUGCACUCCGGAGGCUGUAACUCCAAAACCAAGCCCCACAUAAAGGAGGAAUGCAUCAUCCCCACCCCCUGCUAUAAACCCAAAGAGAAAGUUCCGGUAGAGGCCAGGGCGCCGUGGUACAAACAAGCUCAAGAGCUAGAUGAAGGAGCUGCUGUGUCAGAAGAGCCCUCG
Long non-coding RNA from Myotis lucifugus (little brown bat), 251 nucleotides. RefSeq lists it as uncharacterized. The transcript has 2 exons. The record is from RefSeq and is a predicted model, not a curated record. NCBI's taxonomy places the organism in Eukaryota, Metazoa, Chordata, Mammalia, Chiroptera, Vespertilionidae.